RNAcentral lists this ribosomal RNA (288 nucleotides) under uncultured Pseudomonas sp. RNAcentral describes it as "partial 16S ribosomal RNA". It matches the Rfam family "Bacterial small subunit ribosomal RNA", at positions 1097 to 1382 of the family's 1533-position model. The record is from RNAcentral. Lineage: Bacteria; Pseudomonadati; Pseudomonadota; Gammaproteobacteria; Pseudomonadales; Pseudomonadaceae.
CGCAACCCUUGUCCUUAGUUACCAGCACGUUAUGGUGGGCACUCUAAGGAGACUGCCGGUGGACAAACCGGAGGAAGGUGGGGAUGACGUCAAGUCAUCAUGGCCCUUACGGCCUGGGCUACACACGUGCUACAAUGGUCGGUACAAAGGGUUGCCAAGCCGCGAGGUGGAGCUAAUCCCAUAAAACCGAAUCGUAGUCCGGAUCGCAGUCUGCAACUCGACUGCGUGAAGUCGGAAUCGCUAGUAAUCGUGAAUCAGAAUGUCACGGUGAAUACGUUCCCGGGCCUU